UACGGGGGGGGCAAGCGUUGUUCGGAAUUACUGGGCGUAAAGGGCGCGUAGGCGGCCUUCUAAGUCGGACGUGAAAUCCCUCGGCUUAACCGAGGAACUGCGUCCGAUACUGAAAGGCUUGAAUCCGGGAGAGGGAUGUGGAAUUCCAGGUGUAGCGGUGAAAUGCGUAGAUAUCAGGAAGAACACCCGUGGCGAAGGCGGCUCUCUGGGACGGUACUGACGCUGAGACGCGAAAGCGUGGGGAGCAAACAGG
Molecule: ribosomal RNA, 253 nt
Filed under: uncultured bacterium
Lineage: Bacteria
Description: partial 16S ribosomal RNA
Rfam family: Bacterial small subunit ribosomal RNA
Source: RNAcentral